This is a long non-coding RNA of Megalobrama amblycephala (Wuchang bream), 281 nucleotides long. RefSeq lists it as uncharacterized. NCBI's taxonomy places the organism in Eukaryota, Metazoa, Chordata, Actinopteri, Cypriniformes, Xenocyprididae. The record is from RefSeq and is a predicted model, not a curated record. The transcript is spliced from 4 exons.
GUAAUCACGUGAUACGCACUCCGAAUCACUGGUUCAAAACAAACGAUUCGCAGGUUUCGAAGCUUUACGAGUGUUUCGAUAGCGCCCAUCACUAAUUACACCUUUAUAUGGGGCAGAGAGAAGACUGCUUCAUUUAUUAAACUGAGGGGUGAAACCUGUGAAUUAUUCACCGGGGCUUGGAAAUGGAUGAUGCUACUGGUCCAAAUAACUCUCCUCACCAGAUUGUGACACAGUUCAGAAAUGAAAAUGAGAUUUUUGUACCAAGACUGAGAUGGACCUGG